CUCACACCAGGCCAAGCUGACAGUGAGGCCUGGGGAACACACUUUCUUGCUCAUUGUCAUAAACUGAAAUAUAACCAAAUAAUCCAUCUCAGAUAGCACAGCAUUGUUUUAGCAGCAAAAGUGCACAGGCUGGCAAUGAUUUAAUUAACUGUUACUCUCAUCCCUAAGACCCAUCUACUCUCUAUGAACAGAAAACAAACCUUGUAGGAAGUGAGCCUGAAAUCGACUUCCUCAUUAUCAAUUCCAGUUCCCUAUCAGCAGCACCAUAUAAUGUAAACUCCUUGGUAAUUUCUUGCCUUUGCUACUUUAAUUAAAAGGCUACUUCAAAGCCUGGCUCUUUCCAUUUAUUCAUGAUUGACUACUUUAUAACCAUUUGUU
This is a long non-coding RNA of Vidua chalybeata, 378 nucleotides long. RefSeq lists it as uncharacterized. The transcript is spliced from 3 exons. Lineage: Eukaryota; Metazoa; Chordata; Aves; Passeriformes; Viduidae. The record is from RefSeq and is a predicted model, not a curated record.